Molecule: long non-coding RNA, 1606 nt
Organism: Trifolium pratense (red clover)
Lineage: Eukaryota; Viridiplantae; Streptophyta; Magnoliopsida; Fabales; Fabaceae
Exons: 5
Source: RefSeq, a predicted model, not a curated record
UACCAAAAAUAAAAACACAAAAACACACACACAAAAGUGAAAAAACACAUUUCAUUGAGAAAUCCCUAAAUCCCAAAACACUCUCUCAUCGCCACCACAGUCACACUCCGGCGCAACUUUCUUCAUCGUUCCCUUCCAGAAAAGUGAAUGGGUUCAUCGUUCUCUCCAAUCGUUGGUAUCAAAACUCACUCUCCAAUCUUUCACCUUAAAUCCCUUAAUCACUCUCUCCAAUCGAUCUCUUUACUGUCCCCGUCGAGAGAAGUAAGAUUUGUGUUGAGCAUAAAGAAGAAGUGAGAAUCCUUAGGCCGCCGACCCUCUGACCGCCUCUGUACCGAACCUCCACCUCAUACUCCGGCGCUCUGCCGUUCUUUCAAAGCUCGACUGCUCUGUCUACCCGUCGUUGCUUCUCGUUCCAUUGUUCUGUCAUCUGCUUCCACUGUUCGUUGUAGAUAAAAUGAAAAUGGCGACUUCACCAUAUGAGGAGCCACGGAGCAAAAUAAUAGAAGAGAAUGCUAAAAGGAUGGAAUCAUUCUUAUGAGUUUAUACAAAUGCAUUUUUAUCAUACAAAUGCAUUUUUCUUAUGGGUGUAUCAUAAUUUUGAUUUCUUGUCUCUUGAAACUAAGUUGAUUGCAAGUACUCAAAUUAUGUACUUUGGAUGCUGAAAUUGGUCCUACCUUAUUUGACUGAAUUUUUUAUUAUGGUCUGUUAGGAUUUGGCAUUUGAUUACUUGUCUCUUUCUGUCUUGCUGGGAGAUAACUUCUACAACUACAACUUUGGAGAUCUACUCGCCCACCCUGUUGUAUGAGCUGAAGUUAUUAAUCUAGCCUUGUUCUAGUUACACUACACAUGUCAUUGAACUUGUAUUUUUUAUAAUUUCUUGAUUUUCUUGUCAGCCUAUUAGACCAUUCACUUGGCAAGGAGGUCAUUGAACUUAUAUAGUUUUACUGUGCUUAUGUUAUUGAAAAUCAUAACCCGUUUCCAUGUUCAUAUUUGAAGGUAGUGAAUCCUCUUAUGGAGUUAAAUAUGUUCUCAAUUCAAGAGCAGAGUUCUUAUGGUUCCAUGGACUGGUUUCAAAUUCUUCUUUCAAGUGUUAAGGAUGAGAAGUCAACCAACUGGUUGUUUGCAGAAUCCGUUCAGAUGAAGGGGAAACCAAUCACACAUAAGACAAAUUGUUAUGUUCUGUUUCUGAAGUCUGAAUGCGAACCCUCUGCGAGACCACCGUGAGGCAACGCGAAAGUUGUUUGCUACCACACCAUCACUAUCUUCAAUCAAUGGCUCCAGUUGCAGUGGGAGAUGUGAUUCUAGACGGAGCUUAAUUUUGUUGCCCUUAUUUAUUGUCAUUUGUGUGUGUGCUAUAGGUCCGGGGUUUUUUAUGAUUGAGUCCAUUCGUUUUUUUAAGUAUCCUAAUAGUUAUGUUUUUUCAGGUAACCAAAUAAGAAGAGUCAAGAGAUGGUAGCACUAAUUAAGGAUUAUGAAGCAACAUCAUUUACUAGGGAAUGUUUAGAUAUUUUAAGAACUUAUUUUGCCAUAAUGUUUUGUAUGUUUAACCACUAUACUAAUGUUUAUGUUUUAGUUUUUCAAUGUUUGAACUACAUUGAUUUUUUUU